CAGCUUGUUGGUGAGGUAGUGGCUCACCAAGGCGACGACGGGUAGCCGGCCUGAGAGGGCGACCGGCCACACUGGGACUGAGACACGGCCCAGACUCCUACGGGAGGCAGCAGUGGGGAAUAUUGCACAAUGGGCGAAAGCCUGAUGCAGCGACGCCGCGUGAGGGAUGACGGCCUUCGGGUUGUAAACCUCUUUCAGCAGGGAAGAAGCGAAAGUGACGGUACCUGCAGAAGAAGCGCCGGCUAACUACGUGCCAGCAGCCGCGGUAAUACGUAGGGCGCAAGCGUUGUCCGGAAUUAUUGGGCGUAAAGAGCUCGUAGGCGGCUUGUCACGUCGGUUGUGAAAGCCCGGGGCUUAACCCCGGGUCUGCAGUCGAUACGGGCAGGCUAGAGUUCGGUAGGGGAGAUACGGAAUUCCUGGUGUAGCGGUGAAAUGC
Molecule: ribosomal RNA, 436 nt
Filed under: Streptomyces sp.
Lineage: Bacteria; Bacillati; Actinomycetota; Actinomycetes; Kitasatosporales; Streptomycetaceae
Description: bacterial SSU rRNA
Rfam family: Bacterial small subunit ribosomal RNA
Source: RNAcentral